AUUGCCCUAGUAACGGCGAGUGAAGCGGCAACAGCUCAAAUUUGAAAUCUGGCCUUAGGGUCCGAAUUGUAAUUUGUAGAGGAUGCUUUGGGUGUGGUGCCUUCCGAGUUCCCUGGAACGGGACGCCUUAGAGGGUGAGAGCCCCGUACGGUUGGACACUAAGCCUCUGUAAAGCUCCUUCGACGAGUCGAGUAGUUUGGGAAUGCUGCUCUAAAUGGGAGGUAAAUUUCUCCUAAAGCUAAAUACCGGCCAGAGACCGAUAGCGCACAAGUAGAGUGAUCGAAAGAUGAAAAGUACUUUGAAAAGAGGGUUAAAUAGUACGUGAAAUUGUUGAAAGGGAAGCGUUUACGGCCAGACUUGAACUUCCAGCGGAUCAUCCGGUGUUCUCACCGGUGCACUCCGCUGGGUUUAGGCCAGCAUCGGCUUCCGUAGGGGGAUAAAAGCUUUGGGAAAGUAGCUCCUUAGGGAGUGUUAUAGCCCGCUGUAUAAUACCCUUGCGGGGGCCGAGGACCGCGCUUUUUGCAAGGAUGCUGGCGUAAUGGUCGUCAACGACCCGUCUUGAAACACGGACCAAGGAGUCGAACAUUUGUGCGAGUGUUUGGGUGUUAAACCCUCACGCGUAAUGAAAGUGAACGGAGGUGAGAGCCCUCUAGGGGGUGCAUCAUCGACCGAUCCUGAUGUAUUCGGAUGGAUUUGAGUAGGAGCAUAACUGUUCGGACCCGAAAGAUGGUGAACUAUGCGUGGAUAGGGUGAAGCCAGAGGAAACUCUGGUGGAGGCUCGCAGCGGUUCUGACGUGCAAAUCGAUCGUCAAAUCUGCGCAUGGGGGCGAAAGUAAGUUAUAUUUUCUUAUUAGUGGGUUCGAGUCUCAGCAAGUAAGUUAACGACCAUGCUGGCCAUACCAAUUACUUGCCAAGACUUGUUCCCAUAUGGUCCGUCUUUCUUUUUUAUUGUAAAAUAAGCAUAUGCUAAUUGUCACACUUUACAGGACUUAUCGAACCAUCUAGUAGCUGGUUACCGCCGAAGUUUCCCUCAGGAUAGCAGUGUUGUUCUUCAGUUUUAUGAGGUAAAGCGAAUGAUUAGGGACUCGGGGGCGCUUAUUAGCCUUCAUCCAUUCUCAAACUUUAAAUAUGUAAGAAGCCCUUGUUGCUUAGUUGAACGUGGGCAUUCGAAUGUAUCAACACUAGUGGGCCAUUUUUGGUAAGCAGAACUGGCGAUGCGGGAUGAACCGAACGCGGGGUUAAGGUGCCGGAGUGGACGCUCAUCAGACACCACAAAAGGUGUUAGUACAUCUAGACAGUCGGACGGUGGCCAUGGAAGUCGGAAUCCGCUAAGGACUGUGUAACAACUCACCGACCGAAUGUACUAGCCCUGAAAAUGGAUGGCGCUCAAGCGUCCCACCCAUACCUCGCCCUCAGGGUAGAAACGAUGCCCUGAGGGAGUAGGCGGCCGUGGGGGUUAGUGACGAAGC
This 1469-nucleotide ribosomal RNA is filed under the name Biscogniauxia repanda. RNAcentral describes it as "LSU rRNA". It matches the Rfam family "Eukaryotic large subunit ribosomal RNA", at positions 74 to 1409 of the family's 3401-position model. The record is from RNAcentral. Lineage: Eukaryota; Fungi; Ascomycota; Sordariomycetes; Xylariales; Xylariaceae.